Non-coding RNA from Homo sapiens (human), 357 nucleotides. The record is from the annotation of a RefSeq genome assembly. Lineage: Eukaryota; Metazoa; Chordata; Mammalia; Primates; Hominidae.
AUGCCACUGGUAGUAGCUGUUAUCUUCUUCUCCCUCUGGGUUUUUGCACUUGGGCAGUUGGAACAACCUGAAAUAUCUAUUUCCAGACCAGCAAAUAAGAGUGCCCACAUAUCUUGGAAGGCAUCCAUCCAAGGCUUUAGCAGUAAAAUCAUACACUGGUACUGGCAGAAACCAAACAAAGGCUUAGAAUAUUUAUUACAUGUCUUCUUGACAAUCUCUGCUCAAGAUUGCUCAGGUGGGAAGACUAAGAAACUUGAGGUAAGUAAAAAUGCUCACACUUCCACUUCCACUUUGAAAAUAAAGUUCUUAGAGAAAGAAGAUGAGGUGGUGUACCACUGUGCCUGCUGGAUUAGGCAC